GGUUGCAUAUUUUCGUCGAAAAUACCGAUGAGACCCGCUCAACUUGAUUUGAAAUGAUUGGCUAUUCAUUGGAAUACACAGUGCCAUAUUUGGGUUACUGUUAAAAGUAGAUCGUUCGUUUUGUAUUCGAGAAGACUUGGAUGAAGAGGAUUACACAAUACUGAGGUGGAAAACAUCCGUAUAUAUGAUAAAAUAUAUUUCAGUAUUUUAAAGUAAAGGUUGUCAAAUGAACGGGACAUAUUACUGAUAUUACCUCUUAUAAACAAAACUAAUAAGCGUAGGACUUAUUCAGGGCAUUUGCAAUGUAUGGGAACCAGUCUACGAGGCAACAAAAAUUCCGCCAAGAAUAAACAAAGAGAUUGCGAGAUGUUGUUUACGUGUGUCACACGACACUGACUGCAAGAAACAAAGAGUGGAGAGCUAAUGCAUGGUGCUAAGUAUGGAAAGGUCUCUUGUGGUUUGGUUGUGCCAGAGACAAAUGUGCAUUAUUUCCAUGUUGGGUCAGAAGUCUCGGUACACUUUAGGUGAGUGGCAGUUGGGUAGAUGGAUGACCUUCAGAUAGUUUGAGAUGAAGUUCUUUUAAAUGAUUGAAAGUGAUCAUCAUAGAAUCAACUCCAUUAUGAAGAUAAAUUAUGAGAGUCAGCACUCCUUUUGUCCAACACCUGAGAGAUCUGAGUACCCAGCCUACUGUUGAAUUAAUUGGUGACCAAGAAAAGAUGACAGAGAGGGGAAUCAAAUAUGGAUGCCAUCAUGAUCAAGAAUAUAUACAUUGACUAGAAAAUAUCUGAAAAUAUAUAGAUGAACAUUCAAGCAUUUAUAAUAAUGAAAGUUAUUCAGCAAGAGAGUUUUUGCACAAGUUUAAUUUUCAGUAAAAUUGUGUAUAUUGUGCACUGAGGAACUUAGUAUGUAACUCAAUAUCAUUAUCCAUUUCUUUAGAGGAUGUAUUCGGAGUAUAUUUAAAUAAUCAUUAUUUUCUAGAAAAGAGCACACAAAACUUUUCUCUCUGUGCAAAGCAUGACACAUAUGAGUACACUCCAGCAUUUACCACAACUUUUCCAGGGCGUUUGAAGUCGAGCACAUACAUGAAAAUGUGUUAAGGUGGACACGU
Molecule: long non-coding RNA, 1108 nt
Organism: Saccostrea echinata
Lineage: Eukaryota; Metazoa; Mollusca; Bivalvia; Ostreida; Ostreidae
Exons: 4
Source: RefSeq, a predicted model, not a curated record